UCCACAUCCACCUCGAAGGCGAUGUGCGCAGUGGUUCGAUUGCUAUACCCGAGAUUGAUUUACCGGCGAUUGAUGUCGCAUCAUCUGCUGCGUCGGUGGUGGCGGAAGAGUUAGGUAAAUCAAAUCUCACAUAAAUGAUUCUCUGUUCUAUUCUCCAUUCUUCGUUCUUCUGAUUGUUUUUUUAGGUUUUUGGUGGUUAGAUGUUUGCGCCAGACGAUUCAGAAUUCAUAAGGUGUAAAGUGUGUUC
Molecule: long non-coding RNA, 247 nt
Organism: Arabidopsis thaliana (thale cress)
Lineage: Eukaryota; Viridiplantae; Streptophyta; Magnoliopsida; Brassicales; Brassicaceae
Product: other RNA
Exons: 1
Source: RefSeq